CCAAGUCAGCCAUUGCUUAAUCAAUCAUCUAAGUCUCAAUCUUUUUUCUUUUCUAUAACAAAAACACCCACAAAAGUUAACCAAACAAAGAAAACAAUUUCCUCCAAGAAACCAGAAGAUUCCAUAAAUAAAGAAGAAGAAAAAAGUUCACCAUCAUUAUCAUUCACCGCCAACAAUACCUCAAUACCCUUUUUCUUUCACUUUCUCUUUCUUAUCUUGAGUAUCACAUUCAACACCAACAGCAAUCUUGGAAAACAGAAACCCCAAUGUCAGAAUCUUUCUCCAAACCCUAGCCCUAAAUUUUCAAGAAACCCAAAUAAAUUAGCAGCAGGAGGAAGAAAAUAAU
Molecule: long non-coding RNA, 346 nt
Filed under: Panax ginseng (ginseng)
Lineage: Eukaryota; Viridiplantae; Streptophyta; Magnoliopsida; Apiales; Araliaceae
Description: long non-coding RNA (PGIN_LNC011227)
Source: RNAcentral